UUUGCAACGAGCUUUGCUCUAGUUAUUUUUCUUUUUCUUUUCUUCUGACUCCUUUUUUGCCUCAUAACUCAAAAGGUUUUAAACUGAUUUUAAUGAAAUUUUCAGAGAUUUUUGCAAGUUAGCGUCCCUCAAAAAUGGAAAAGUUUUAAAGAGAACGUCACUUCCGUUUUGACGUGACGUCAUUUUUAAAAAUUUCAAAAAGUCAUUUUGUCCCGGACUUUUCUCAAAAACGCUUUAAGAUAGAGGCUUGAAAUUUUGAAUGGUUAUGAUUUGAUCGAUUAACCUCUGUAAUAAGACUCGAAAUGAAAAUCGGUCACUUCCGGUCGAAACCGGAAGUGAAACAAAUUUUUCAAAAAAAGGAAUUUUCAGAUCAAAUCAAAAAUGAAUAUGUGUUUUGUAGAGCUUACUUAGCUGAAUCUAACACUGAAAGCCGUUUUAAAAUCGGACGAUGCAUUACAGAGAUAUUGGGGUUUAAAAAUUGAUUUUUCCGGAAAUUUUGAUUCCGCGUCCUUGGUUUAAAAAAUAGCGUAAUGUUAAAAGUAAAAUUAACUCGUACUAUAAAUAAUUGUUAAGUCGUACUGUAACACAUUCGGAUUUUUUUUGGUUAAGUCGUUCUUAAAAUCGGAAAGGUUUUUGUUAAGUCGUACUUAAAACCAUUCGUAUUUUGUUAAGUCGUACCAGGAAUAUUCGAUUUUUUCAUCUUUUUAUUUUAGUUACUUUUGUUAUUGGUUUAAGAGCUUUGCUUCUUACAGGAACUUCCAGCUUUACUUCCAACAUUAACGGAAGACCCACUCGUUGCUUUGCAACGAGCUUUGCUCUAGUUAUUAUACUUUUUCUUUUUUUUCUGACUCCUUUUUUGCUUCAUAACUCAAAAAGUUUUCAACCGAUUUCAAUAAAACUUCCAGAGAUUUUAGCAAGUUAUCGUCCCUCGAAGAUGUUAAAGUUUUAAAGACAACAUCACUUCCGUUUUUGCGUGACGUCAUUUUUAAAAUUUAAAAAAAGUCAUUUUGUCCGGGACUUUUCUCAAAAACGCUUUAAGAUAUAGGCUUGAAAUUUUCAAUUGUUAUGAUUUGGUCAAUUUACCUCUGUAAUGAAGCUAUAUAAUAAAAAUCUGUCACUUGCGGUCGAAACUGGAAGCGAAUCAAAUUUUUUGAAAAAAUGAAUUUUUUGAUCAAACAAAAAACGUAUACGUAUUUUGUAGAGCUUUUUAAGCUGAGUCUAAUGCUGAAAACCGUUUAAAAUUCGGAGGAUGCAUAACAGAGAUAUCGGGGUUUAAAAACUGAUUUUCUCGGAAAUUUUGAUGCCGCGUUCUUGGUUUCAAAAAUAGUGCAAAAUUCACACUGAAAGUAACUUUUACUGUAACAAUUCGUACUGAUCAUAAAACUUUAUAAAAAAACAUAAAAUUAUAUGCAUAUUGUAUAGUUUGUAAAGAUAAAUACAAAACUUCAAUUCGUUUUAAAAUCGGAUACUGCAUUGCGGAGUUAUCGGGGUUUAAAUAUUGAUUUUUCCGGAAGUUAUUGGUUUAAAAAAUAGUGCAAAAUUCACACUAAAAGUAACUCCUGCUGAAAAGAUUUCGUACAGGUCAUAAAACCGAACUCCUUUUUUAUAUAGUUAAUCAGAGUGUUUAUUGAAACAAUUUCGUUAAUUCGGUCGAUAAUUACGAUGUUAGUUUUUAUUAGUCUGAUUAGUUUUAAUCGAAAUAAUUAUCGUACGAUUCACCAUGUCAACUCGCCAUGUUUUGACUGCGAACAACAGCUGAUAGCGGUGUGUCAGAAGAAUGGCCUGCAAGACGGCGAUAGUGGAAAUUUCAGCUCAACUAACGUAUGACAGAUUAUAAAGCUAUUGGUGGCCACAUGGUUUUUACCUGUUGAUUCUUUUCAGCUCUUGAGGUUAACCUGUCAUCUCUACCCACAUGCAUAUUCCUUAAUGUGUUCUACAGACUAUUUACCAGUAAAAAUUAAAUCGGAUAAUUCAUGAACAGUUACUGUAAUGGAACUUUAAGAAAGCAUCAUGCCUUGUUGUGGUUUGUGUUUGAUAAGAAAUUAUAACAAACAAAAUUAUGGCUGUUUAAAGUAAUUUACAAUUGUUAGCUGUGAAAAUUUGUUUUUCAAUAAAAGUAUGCACAUUAUGUUUCUUUAAUUUUUUUAGCUCACCUGAGCUGAAAGCUCAAGUGAGCUAUUCUGAUCACAUUUUGUCCGUCGUCCGUCUGUCCGUCUGUCUGUCCGUCCGUCCGUCCGUCCGUCUGUAAACUUUUUACAUUUUGAACUUCUUCUCUAAAACCGCUUAUCCAAUUUCAACCAAAUUUGGCACAAAGCAUCCUUAUGGGAUGGCGAAUAUAAAUUGCAGAAAUAAAAGUCCGAUCUGUAUUCAAAGCGGAGAAAACCUUGAAACUGUAGAAAAAGGGGGGUGCAUUUUUAAAAAUCUUCUUCUCAAGAACUACCGAGGCAAAUUCAACGUAGUUUAGCAUAAAUUAUCCUUAUGGGAAGGAAAAUAUAAAUUGCAAAAAUUAAGGUCUAAUUCAGUUUCAAAUCUGAGUUAUUACGAAAAUAAUGAUAAAGGAAAGGCGUGUUCAGCUUCGGUUCGGUUCGGCAUCCGGUAAAAUGGGUAGGCAAGACUUGGCCUGGUCAAAACAAAAGAUUGGCAGUUAUUAAUCUGCCAAUCUCAUUAAAAUUUCAGGAUAUUUGAUGGACCAGUUAUAUUUGUAUUCGCUGUAAAUAUUGCCGCAAAAUAAUGCGUAUUUGGAAUUGACGAUUGCCGAUCUGCCCCGGCUUUUAUUUUGCCACGGCCCGUGUUUGCAUACCCAUUUUACCAAGACUCGUAUUCCAUACUUCUAAAACGAGGUUCUUUGUUUAAAGCAGCCAUGACAUUAUACGAAAAAGGGUCGAUCUGACUAUGAUGAAUUUGCUUGUUAUGCAACAGUUCGUGUAUGAAGGGAAAUUUUUGAAACAUGCAAAAUAUAUUGGUGCCGAUUUUGUGAAGUAAAUUGAGGCUAAAUAUUUCAAUGCGUUGACAGAUUUCACACAUGACGUUGGUGUUAGCUUGUUCUGAUUUUCGUUUCGUUUUCAUUAUUUAUGCUUUGUAAUUUAACCUGGGAACUCUUGUAUUUCGUGAUUUUUACGUAUCAAUUCAAACAGAGACUUCGGUAAAUCAAACAGUUAACUGUUUACCUGCGCAAAUUAAGCAAAAUCUGAUGUAUCAAAAAAGUACUGAAAUACAAUUCAUUCUAUCGGUAAUUCGGCUUUAUCUUUUGCGUAAUGGUAGAUUAAUGCAAUAGGUUUUGUUGAGAUCGAUGCUCGGCAUUUUCUCGAGUUUAUUCAGUUUAAAUAGAGUUUGAUAUCGCUGAAGGAAAUAUGUAGGUAUAUAUACAUGUAUAUAUAUGAUUCAUUUCGAAAAAAUAAAUUGUGUUCUUUAUUUGUUAUAGUGCAUGCAUGUUUCUUGUGUUUAAUUGUUUACAAUUUCUAUUUACUAACCAUAUUUGAGUGUUAAGCUUCGAAUUAUAAGCAAGAUACAGAGAUUUGCUUACAAUUCUAUGUUUGUACACAGAUCUUAAAAACUAAAGAUUGAAAAGGUAAAAAAUUUGUCAAUAUUUAUUAAUAUAUCAAUAUUUAUUAAGAAGUCUGUUCUGCCAGAAACCAAUUUUAACAACUUAUUGUAUUGUAAACUUAACCUUUUUUCGUCAUUAUUACUCCUACUGUACAUGUGAUCCUUGACUGUGUUUGUGUACAUUUGUAUAAACUGAUUUUGAACCUUAAAUACCAAUGAACUGGUCUUGAGUGAAUAAAAGAAUUGAAAAUC
Molecule: long non-coding RNA, 3795 nt
Organism: Magallana angulata
Lineage: Eukaryota; Metazoa; Mollusca; Bivalvia; Ostreida; Ostreidae
Exons: 2
Source: RefSeq, a predicted model, not a curated record